This 632-nucleotide ribosomal RNA is filed under the name Torulaspora delbrueckii. Its description in RNAcentral is "partial large subunit ribosomal RNA". It matches the Rfam family "Eukaryotic large subunit ribosomal RNA", at positions 32 to 664 of the family's 3401-position model. The record is from RNAcentral. Lineage: Eukaryota; Fungi; Ascomycota; Saccharomycetes; Saccharomycetales; Saccharomycetaceae.
UUUUUUGCAUAUCCAAUAGCGGAGGAAAAGAAACCAACCGGGAUUGCCUUAGUAACGGCGAGUGAAGCGGCAAAAGCUCAAAUUUGAAAUCUGGUACCUUCGGUGCCCGAGUUGUAAUUUGUAGAAGGUAACUUUGGGGCUGGUCCUUGUCUAUGUUCCUUGGAACAGGACGUCAUAGAGGGUGAGAAUCCCGUGUGGCGAGGAUCCCAGUUCUUUGUAAAGUGCUUUCGAAGAGUCGAGUUGUUUGGGAAUGCAGCUCUAAGUGGGUGGUAAAUUCCAUCUAAAGCUAAAUAUUGGCGAGAGACCGAUAGCGAACAAGUACAGUGAUGGAAAGAUGAAAAGAACUUUGAAAAGAGAGUGAAAAAGUACGUGAAAUUGUUGAAAGGGAAGGGCAUUUGAUCAGACAUGGUGUUUUGCGCCCUCUGCUCCUUGUGGGUGGGGGAAUCUCGCAGCUCACUGGGCCAGCAUCAGUUUUGGCGGCAGGAUAAAUCUGCAGGAAUGUAGCUUGCCUCGGUAAGUGUUAUAUCCUGUAGAAAUACUGCCAGCUGGGACUGAGGACUGCGACUUUACGUCAAGGAUGCUGGCAUAAUGGUUAUAUGCCGCCCGUCUUGAUAACACGGAACCAAAAAACG